Molecule: ribosomal RNA, 163 nt
Filed under: Trisetum flavescens
Lineage: Eukaryota; Viridiplantae; Streptophyta; Magnoliopsida; Poales; Poaceae
Also listed under: 1 other name
Description: 5.8S ribosomal RNA
Rfam family: 5.8S ribosomal RNA
About the family: 5.8S ribosomal RNA (5.8S rRNA) is a component of the large subunit of the eukaryotic ribosome. It is transcribed by RNA polymerase I as part of the 45S precursor that also contains 18S and 28S rRNA.
Source: RNAcentral
CACACGACUCUCGGCAACGGAUAUCUCGGCUCUCGCAUCGAUGAAGAACGUAGCGAAAUGCGAUACCUGGUGUGAAUUGCAGAAUCCCGCGAACCAUCGAGUCUUUGAACGCAAGUUGCGCCCGAGUCCUUUUGGCCGAGGGCACGCCUGCCUGGGCGUCACG